CAACUAUAGAUUGAUAAGUUGUGGUAUUUAUUGAUAGAUUGAUCUUAAUGCUUGUUCUAGAUUAGCUACCUAGAAUACUGAAUCUAGGAAUCUGCAUGAGUCAAGCAACCUUGACCAUCCCGUCCUGAAUCUAAUCUGUCAGACUACACGAUGGGAAAAAGGCUACCGCUGAACCCGGAAGCUAGUUUUCAUUAUCAAUUUGCGCCUAGGGCUUAACUAGAAGCAUCGAUCGAUACUGUCUUUUGACAAUCGAUCGAUCUUGCGAAAGAUGUAUCGAUCGAUGUCCCUAUAGGACCAUCGAUCAACACUUUCUUGUGGUCAAUAAAUGACAAUUGAGAUCCAAGAUCUAGUUAGUUUACCAGUGAAACAUUGCCAUUGCUGAUCACUGUGUUAAGGGGUUGAGUUCUAACAUAUCAUGCAAGCAACUGAUAAACAUCUAUAGGAUUAUAAUCUCUAACACAUGAAUAGAAACCCUGCAUAUAAUAUCUUUCCAAUAGGUUACAC
This 504-nucleotide long non-coding RNA is filed under the name Brassica napus (rape). Its description in RNAcentral is "long non-coding RNA (BNAP_LNC016182)". The record is from RNAcentral. Lineage: Eukaryota; Viridiplantae; Streptophyta; Magnoliopsida; Brassicales; Brassicaceae.